Molecule: ribosomal RNA, 199 nt
Filed under: Euplotes focardii
Lineage: Eukaryota; Ciliophora; Spirotrichea; Euplotida; Euplotidae
Description: partial Bacterial large subunit ribosomal RNA
Rfam family: Bacterial large subunit ribosomal RNA
Source: RNAcentral
UCUUGACUGAAUAUGGGGGGCCCAUCCUCCAAGGCUAAAUACUACCAAUUGACCGAUAGUGAACCAGUACCGUGAGGGAAAGGCGAAAAGAACCCCGUAGAGGGGAGUGAAAUAGAUCCUGAAACCGUAUACGUACAAGCAGUAGGAGCAGACUUGUUCUGUGACUGCGUACCUUUUGUAUAAUGGGUCAGCGACUUAU